AGUGGGGAAUAUUGGACAAUGCACGGAAGUGUGAUCCAGCGACGCCGCGUGAAGGAAGAAGUCCUUCGGGAUGUAAACUUCUGAACUUACAGAAUAACAGCAUAGGGGUACCUAUGCAUGAAGGUAAGUAAGGAAAAGCCCCGGCUAACUACGUGCCAGCAGCCGCGGUAAGACGUAGGGGGCGAGCGUUGCCCGGAAUCACUGGGCGUAAAGGGGGCGUAGGCGGUCUCAAAAGUCAGGUGUGAAAUGUCACUGCUCAACGGUGUCAGUGCGCAUGAAACUGUGAGACUUGAGGGGACCAGAGGUAGACGGAAUUACCUGAGUAGGGGUGAAAUCCGUAGAUACAGGUAAGAACGCCAGUGGGGAAGCCGGUCUACUGGGGUGACCCUGACGCUGAGGCCCGAAAGCUAGGGGAGCGAACCGGAUUAGAUACCCGGGUAGUCCUAGCAGUAAACGAUGCUCACUAGGUGUGGGGCAAGAAAGCUCCGUGCUGAAGCAAACGCGAUAAGUGAGCCGCCUGGGGAGUACGCCCGCAAGGGUG
Molecule: ribosomal RNA, 541 nt
Filed under: uncultured bacterium
Lineage: Bacteria
Description: bacterial SSU rRNA
Rfam family: Bacterial small subunit ribosomal RNA
Source: RNAcentral